RNAcentral lists this ribosomal RNA (508 nucleotides) under uncultured bacterium. Its description in RNAcentral is "partial 16S ribosomal RNA". It matches the Rfam family "Bacterial small subunit ribosomal RNA", at positions 28 to 507 of the family's 1533-position model. The record is from RNAcentral.
GACGAACGCUGGCGGCGUGCCUAAUACAUGCAAGUCGAACGCUUCUUUCCUCCCGAGUGCUUGCACUCAAUUGGGAAGAGGAGUGGCGGACGGGUGAGUAACACGUGGGUAACCUACCCAUCAGAGGGGGAUAACACUUGGAAACAGGUGCUAAUACCGCAUAACAGUUUAUGCCGCAUGGCAUAAGAGUGAAAGGCGCUUUCGGGUGUCGCUGAUGGAUGGACCCGCGGUGCAUUAGCUAGUUGGUGAGGUAACGGCUCACCAAGGCCACGAUGCAUAGCCGACCUGAGAGGGUGAUCGGCCACACUGGGACUGAGACACGGCCCAGACUCCUACGGGAGGCAGCAGUAGGGAAUCUUCGGCAAUGGACGAAAGUCUGACCGAGCAACGCCGCGUGAGUGAAGAAGGUUUUCGGAUCGUAAAACUCUGUUGUUAGAGAAGAACAAGGACGUUAGUAACUGAACGUCCCCUGACGGUAUCUAACCAGAAAGCCACGGCUAACUACGUG